GACGAACCGCACGAACGUUAUUCGGAAUCACUGGGCUUAAAGGGUGCGUAGGCGGCGCGACAAGUUGGGUGUGAAAUCCCUCGGCUCAACCGAGGAACUGCGCCCAAAACUGUCGUGCUCGAGGGAGACAGAGGUGAGCGGAACUUAGGGUGGAGCGGUGAAAUGCGUUGAUAUCCUAAGGAACACCGGUGGCGAAAGCGGCUCACUGGGUCUCUGCUGACGCUGAGGCACGAAAGCUAGGGUAGCGAACGGG
This 253-nucleotide ribosomal RNA is filed under the name uncultured bacterium. Its description in RNAcentral is "partial 16S ribosomal RNA". It matches the Rfam family "Bacterial small subunit ribosomal RNA", at positions 524 to 776 of the family's 1533-position model. The record is from RNAcentral.